CUUCGGCUCCCUAGUUAGUGGCGAACGGGUGAGUAACGCGUGAGCAACCUGCCUUUCAGAGGGGGACAACAGCUGGAAACGGCUGCUAAUACCGCAUAACAUGAUUUAGCCGCAUGACUGGAUCAUCAAAGAUUUAUCGCUGAAAGAUGGGCUCGCGUCUGAUUAGCUAGUUGGUGGGGUAAAGGCCCACCAAGGCGACGAUCAGUAGCCGGACUGAGAGGUUGAACGGCCACAUUGGGACUGAGAUACGGCCCAGACUCC
This 261-nucleotide ribosomal RNA is filed under the name uncultured Oscillospiraceae bacterium. RNAcentral describes it as "partial 16S ribosomal RNA". It matches the Rfam family "Bacterial small subunit ribosomal RNA", at positions 78 to 339 of the family's 1533-position model. The record is from RNAcentral. Lineage: Bacteria; Bacillati; Bacillota; Clostridia; Eubacteriales; Oscillospiraceae.